Molecule: ribosomal RNA, 2003 nt
Filed under: human gut metagenome
Description: bacterial LSU rRNA
Rfam family: Bacterial large subunit ribosomal RNA
Source: RNAcentral
UAAAGAUUUUAAGGGCGUACGGCGGAUGCCUUGGCGAUAUCAGCCGAAGAAGGACGCGGUAAGCUGCGAUAAGCUACGGAGAGGUGCAAGCAACCUUUGACCCGUAGAUUUCCGAAUGGGGGAACCCGGCAGUGGUUAUGCACUGUCACCCAUACCUUUGAGUAUGAGGAGGGCACCUGGGGAACUGAAACAUCUAAUUACCCAGAGGAAGAGUAAUCAAACGAGAUUUUCUUAGUAGCGGCGAGCGAACGGGAAAGAGGCCAAACCGGAGCGGGCAACCGCACCGGGGUUGAGGACAGUCAUCAAGUGUAAAUGAGGUAGAAGAAUCGAGUUGGAAAGCUCAGCCGAAGAAGGUGAAAGCCCUGUAAUCGAAACCUUGCAUACAUGGGACUGUAUCCAGAGUACCACGAGACACGUGAAACCUUGUGGGAAGCAGGGGGGACCACCCUCCAAGCCAAAAUACUGAUAUCGACCGAUAGCGCAUAGUACCGUGAGGGAAAGGUGAAAAGAACCCCUGGCGGGGAGUGAAAGAGAACCUGAAACCGUAUGUCUACAAACAGUCGAAGUCUGUAUAUAUAUCAGGACGACGGCGUGCCUAUUGAAGAAUGAACCGACGAGUUACUGUUGCUAGCGAGGUUAAGUGGAAAACAUGGAGCCGCAGCGAAAGCGAGUCUGAACAGGGCGUUCAGUUAGUGAUAGUAGACCCGAAACCGUAGUGAUCUAUCCAUGGCCAGGUUGAAGCACAGGUAAAAUUGUGUGGAGGACCGAACUCGUGAGCGUUGAAAAGCUUUGGGAUGAGUUGUGGAUAGGGGUGAAAUGCCAAUCGAACACGGAGAUAGCUGGUUCUCCCCGAAAUAGCUUUAGGGCUAGCCUCGAGGUUGAGAGUAUAGGCGGUAGAGCACUGAUCGGGCUAGGGGCCAUACCGGUUACCGAACCUAGUCAAACUACGAAUGGCUAUACUUAUACUCGGGAGUCAGACAGUGAAUGAUAAGGUCCAUUGUCAAGAGGGAAACAGCCCAGAACACCGACUAAGGUCCCCAAUGUCAUACUAAGUGGCGAAGGAUGUGGAAUUUCCAAAACAACCAGGAUGUUGGCUUAGAAGCAGCCACCAUUUAAAGAGUGCGUAAUAGCUCACUGGUCGAGAGACUCUGCGCCGAAAAUGUCCGGGGCUAAAGUGUAAAACCGAAGUCGUGUCAUAUGCAGCAAUGUAUAUGGGUAGGGGAGCGUUCUCAUCGGGCUGAAGCAGUACCGUAAGGAGUUGUGGACUGAUGAGAAGUGAGAAUGUCGGUAUGAGUAGCGAAAAGAAUGGUGAGAAUCCAUUCCACCGAAAGCCUAAGGGUUCCUGAGCAACGAUCGUCGUCUCAGGGUAAGUCGGGACCUAAGCCGAGGCGGAAAAGCGUAGGCGAUGGACAACAGGUUGAAAUUCCUGUACCGGUGUGAAUCGUUUGAUCGAAGGAGUGACACAGUAAGGUAGGUCAGCACGCGAUUGGAAGUGCGUGUUUAAGCAUGUAGGUUGAGUUAUAGGCAAAUCCGUAACUCUAAAAGCUGAGAUGUGAUGACGAGCUGUUUACAGCGAAGUGAUUGAUCCUACACUGUCGAGAAAAGCUUCUAGGUAGAGACACAUCGCCCGUACCAAAACCGACACAGGUAGGCGGGGAGAGAAUCCUAAGGUGCGCGGGAAAACCCUCGUUAAGGAACUCGGCAAAAUGCCUCCGUAACUUCGGGAAAAGGAGGACUCAUGUAGUGUGAAGUGCAGCAACGCAUGGAGCAUGAAUGAGUGGCACAAGAGAGGCGCAAGCGACUGUUUACCACAAACACAGGUGCCUGCUAAAGCGAAAGCUGAUGUAUAGGUGCUGACACCUGCCCGGUGCUGGAAGGUUAAGAGGAGGGGUUAGACUUCGGUCGAAGCUCUGAAUUGAAGCCCCAGUAAACGGCGGCCGUAACUAUAACGGUCCUAAGGUAGCGAAAUUCCUUGUCGGGUAAGUUCCGACCCGCACGAAAGG